Molecule: ribosomal RNA, 513 nt
Filed under: uncultured bacterium
Lineage: Bacteria
Description: partial 16S ribosomal RNA
Rfam family: Bacterial small subunit ribosomal RNA
Source: RNAcentral
GACGUAUGCUGGCGGCGUGCCUAAUACAUGCAAGUUGAGCGAUGAAGAUUGGUGCUUGCACCAAUUUGAAGAGCAGCGAACGGGUGAGUAACGCGUGGGGAAUCUGCCUUUGAGCGGGGGACAACAUUUGGAAACGAAUGCUAAUACCGCAUAACAACUUUAAACAUAAGUUUUAAGUUUGAAAGAUGCAAUUGCAUCACUCAAAGAUGAUCCCGCGUUGUAUUAGCUAGUUGGUGAGGUGAAGGCUCACCAAGGCGAUGAUACAUAGCCGACCUGAGAGGGUGAUCGGCCACAUUGGGACUGAGACACGGCCCAAACUCCUACGGGAGGCAGCAGUAGGGAAUCUUCGGCAAUGGACGAAAGUCUGACCGAGCAACGCCGCGUGAGUGAAGAAGGUUUUCGGAUCGUAAAACUCUGUUGGUAGAGAAGAACGUUGGUGAGAGUGGAAAGCUCAUCAAGUGACGGUAACUACCCAGAAAGGGACGGCUAACUACGUGCCAGCAGCCGCAGUAA